RNAcentral lists this ribosomal RNA (460 nucleotides) under uncultured bacterium. Its description in RNAcentral is "partial 16S ribosomal RNA". It matches the Rfam family "Bacterial small subunit ribosomal RNA", at positions 338 to 795 of the family's 1533-position model. The record is from RNAcentral.
CCUACGGGGGGCAGCAGUGAGGAAUAUUGGUCAAUGGGCGAAAGCCUGAACCAGCCAAGUCGCGUGCAGGAUGACGGAUCUAUGGUUUGUAAACUUCUUUUAUAUGGGAGUAAAGUGAGGAACGUGUUCCUUUCUGUAUGUACCAUAUGAAUAAGCAUCGGCUAACUCCGUGCCAGCAGCCGCGGUAAUACGGAGGAUGCGAGCGUUAUCCGGAUUUAUUGGGUUUAAAGGGUGCGUAGGUGGUUAGAUAAGUCAGCGGUGAAAGUUUGUGGCUCAACCAGAAAAUUGCCUUUGAAACUGGUUGACUUGAGAAUAUAUGAGGUAGGCGGAAUGCGUGGUGUAGCGGUGAAAUGCAUAGAGAUCACGCAGAACACCGAUUGCGAAGGCAGCUUACUAAACUAUAACUGACACUGAGGCACGAAAGCGUGGGGAGCAAACAGGAUUAGAUACCCUGGUAGUC